RNAcentral lists this unclassified non-coding RNA (336 nucleotides) under soil metagenome. Its description in RNAcentral is "partial contains 5.8S ribosomal RNA, internal transcribed spacer 2, and large subunit ribosomal RNA". The stretch from base 1 to 120 matches the Rfam family "5.8S ribosomal RNA", at positions 35 to 154 of the family's 154-position model. The record is from RNAcentral.
GAUGAAGAACGUAGCGAAAUGCGAUAAGUAAUGUGAAUUGCAGAAUUCAGUGAAUCAUCGAAUCUUUGAACGCGCAUUGCGACCGCCAGUAUUCUGGCGGGCAUGCCUGUUCGAGCGUCAUUUCAACCAUCAAGCCCCAGGCUUGUGUUGGGGACCUGCGGCUGCCGCAGGCCCUGAAAACCAGUGGCGGGCUCGCUGUCACACCGGGCGUAGUAGAUUUUAUCUCGCUCUGGGCGUGCUGCGGGUUCCGGCCGUUAAAAAGCCUUUUUUACCCAAGGUUGACCUCGGAUCAGGUAGGAAUACCCGCUGAACUUAAGCAUAUCAAUAAGCGGAGGA